Long non-coding RNA from Acinonyx jubatus (cheetah), 1181 nucleotides. RefSeq lists it as uncharacterized. The record is from RefSeq and is a predicted model, not a curated record. Lineage: Eukaryota; Metazoa; Chordata; Mammalia; Carnivora; Felidae. The transcript is spliced from 6 exons.
UACCUCUCAUCCUGUGCUAAUCCCAUUAGACUGAAUAUUGGAAUAGCUGAUUCAUAUGGAACACAGCUAAAAAUAGUGAACAGACUCUAAGAUCACCAUAUAACCAUCUAGGGGACUCUUGAUUUUGGCUCAAGUCAUGAUCUCAGGAUCAUGGGAUCAUGUCACAGGAUCAAGCCCCGGAGCUCUUUCCAGAGGACCCAACUAAAGACACUUGGUUACAGCAACGGUUUCGGGGAAGUAGACUCUGAUAUGGGAUUUUGGAGAUAGAUUGCCCACUGGCCAGCUGGCAAUGAGGACCCCACCGAGGGUGUCUGGGCCUGUAGAAGAGUCAGUCACUCUUGAAUGAAAGAUAAAUGGCACUUCUUUUCCUCCUGGCAGCUGCGUUCCUGCUCCUGAGCCUGGCUGUAAGGCUGAGACCCGAGUGGAGAGCCGCCCUCGAGAUCCCUCACGUCUUCUACACCUUUCUGUGCCGCUCAGAACCGAACAUCAAUUUUAUGGAGGAACAGUAAGUGGUCCCAUAUUGAGGAAGCCGGCACAGAUGGUCAUCAUGUACCUACUAGGUGCCAAGCAGUGAGCAACAGAAGAAUUCUUACCCUCUUGGAGGUUACAUUCUUACCGGAGAAGACAAGACAGUAAUAUACAUACAUAUAUAGACAUUUCAAGUCAUCUUAAGUGCUGAAAGAAAGAAAGAAAGAGAAGAAGGAGGGAGGGAGGGAGGGGGGAAGGAAGGAAGGAAGGAGGGGGGAAAAGAAACAAGAGAAACAAGCUCUUGGAUUGGUUUGUUAGUGCUGCCGUCACAAAGGAUACGUGGCCAGUACUCCUUAAGACCGCCAUGGUCAUGCAAAACACAGAAAAAUUGAGAAAAUAUCACAGACCAGAGGAGACUGAGGAAACAUGUCAACAUGGUACCCUACAUUGGAUCCUGGAACAGCAAUGGAAAAAAAUCAGAGAAAUCCAAAUACAGUCUGAAGUUUACUGAACAGUAAUAUGCCAGUGUGACUCGCUUAGUUUAGAAAAUUUACUGUGGUAAUGUAACUGGGUAAGAAGUAUGUAAAUUCCUUGUACUGCCUUUGCAAAUUUUCUGUACAAAAGUCCAUAAAUAAAAACAAAAAAGUUUAUUUUUUGUAAUGUGGUAUUCGUCUCAAAAUAAAUAGACCAAUGAGAAGAAUAGAGAUCCAGAA